UCUUUUGAAGCUACACCCUGGGGAGAGCCCCAUUGUUUACUAAUUAGCUAUUCCUGGAAACUCCAGGUCAAAGACUCCCUGGGCUUUAUAAGGGGACUAAAAACGUUGUGAAUGUGCUUGUUCUGAGCUGAAGCUGUGAUGAACCUGUGACCACAAAGGAAACUCUUGGGAUGGGGUGUUCAAGGUCUGCUUCAUUCUGACAGAACCCAUGUUAGAGUUGGAGUGAUGUCUGAUGUAGAGACUGAGACUCAGGGAGGUAAUCUUAUCUACAGUCCCCUGAAGUCAACAUUGGGUCUUUCCACUAGAAACACCCCAGAACAACUGACCUUAAGGGGAAGAAUUUUAAAGCUGGGAACCUUCCAGUGAAAGAAGGCAAACAAUAACACACGCAGACCAGUUGUUCUGAGGACAAGACACUUGCCGACCUACAGGCAGAAAAGGGGAUGGCUGAGCCCCAUGUUAAUUUUUGGAGGGGUUCCCUGACUCCCGGCUUCUCUCAUAUACCUUUUGGAGUUUUUCUGCCUCAGUUGAAAAGAGUAAGCAGCAGCAGUUCCAUGUUUGUUGCUGGCAAACAGCAUGUAUAUUUUGAGUGUAGGCGCCUGUCAGACCAGAUGGCAUGAUUUUUAAAGGUGCUGAGCUUUGAAGGUAGUUUCAUUAUUUCUGAAAAAUAAGGCUAAGAUCUAUAAUAGCCAAAUGCAGAGAUUUGGAUAUUCACAAUACUAUCAACGAGACUAUACAGCAAUUAUACAAGUCCCUGUACUCUCAUUGGCUAAUAAUGGCUGCUAGACAAUCGGAGUACAUAGCUUUGCAUAGUGUAUGACAAUUAAGAAUCUCAGUAUUUAUGCAACAGCCAGAGUGCAAAGGAAACACAACUGGGAAAAAUGUGCUGUUAUAUAUCAUUAUAGUAACUGUACAGCAAUCUGGUGUAGACCAUUCCAUUUCAGUAUAAUAUCCAGUAAGCACUUGGUUUCAUCAUAAGCUACAAAAUAUACAUUUUUCCACCCCGAAUUAUAUGAAUUUUGGCAGGAAAAAAAGACAUUAACUUCCAUCCCAAGCUGUCAGAAUUCAUUUUAAAAAACAUUUCCUUCUUUGAUAAGUCACAAGGGACAAAUCUGGAAAUAUACAGAGCCAUGUUUAAGUUGACUUACUCCCGGUCCCACCCCAUUAGCUACUAUGGUAUUGGCUGGAGGAGUGAGUUAACUAGGAACUUGGCCCACAGUUUGAACAGUCUUCGCAGCACAAAAUAUUCCUUUUUUGUGUGUAUGUUGUUGUGUUUUAAAAAUUCUCUCUUGACCUGAAAAACCUUUGAAAGGCACAGUUUAAUUAGGGACAUAACCCAGAGCUCACACAGCCCAAUUCUUUUAAUUUUGAUUCAAUAGAAUAGGUACAUCUCUAAAUGAGAUGACAUGCUUUUCCAAAAGUGGCUUUAUCAAAUUUUGCUACACUAUCAGGAGUCUCAGAACAUUAGGUUUUCUACUCAACCCAAAACACCCUCAUGAACAUUUCCUCUGGAAGUUUGCCAUACAUUCCAGAAAUUUGCUUACAAUUAAAUAUUCUUAGCAAGCAAGUUCAAAGUAGAGCGAUUUUUCACAUUCCACAUUGUGUUGAGUAACAUUUUGUUUUGUACUCACAAUUUGCUAUUGCUUUCCACAGGAGAUUGUAAUACCAUCCAGAUGUUGUGGUUUUGAGGCACAGGUAUUCAAUUUUGGUUCUAGAGAUUUCACAAUCAAUUAAAAAAAACCCCAACAACAAUGAAAAUCUACAAUCAGAUAAUUCUCAAGACCAACUGGAGUAACCCCAGAAACUGAUCUCAGAUCCUCCCUUUCCUAAGGUAACAGUUGCUGGAUAUGUGGGGAUAGCAGCUUUGGAGAAGGUCUAUCUAGGCUUUUAGACUGUCAGACACUAUAGUAUCUGAACACCUUGCAAGGUUUAGAGAAACGGAAAGCUAGUCUGCAGCCCUCUUCAUCUCUCUCAUGAGGCUAACCUAAAGAAACACUUCGUACUUUGGUGUUCUGUUGUUCUUUCUCAGGGCUUAUCUUCAUGAACUUUUAGUUCACAGCAAGCUGGGGUGUAAAUCUACCCUGCAAUAGCCUACCGUGCACACUCCAUGUAGAUCUUGCUGCUGUGCACUCAGAGUUCCUUACUGCACUUUGAUCUGCACUGCUUUGAAACAGGACUAAAUGUUCAUGUGUACAAUCCCUCAAAGACAUGAUACAAAAAACACUGGGGAAAAAAAAGAUAGGCACUACUGAAGGGCAACCGCCUUGAAUGGCAGCAACAGCAACCACUGCUGGAACUUUAACUGAGAAGAGUUUAUAUGCUGAUAAGUAUAAUGUAACAACAAAUGUAGAUAUUUGUAAAGGAAAUAAAAGUUUUCCUUAGCUGUGA
Molecule: long non-coding RNA, 2388 nt
Organism: Mauremys reevesii (Reeves's turtle)
Lineage: Eukaryota; Metazoa; Chordata; Testudines; Geoemydidae
Exons: 4
Source: RefSeq, a predicted model, not a curated record